UGUUAGUCACUUGAAACAUCUUAAUGACAACCAAAAACUUGUGACAUGUUUUUCCAUUUGGACCAAACGUCUUGUGAAUUACUGAAAAAAAAUAGUAACUUAGGAAAUUAUCAUCUUCAGCUCAACACAGACUGUAACCGUUACUAAGCAAAAUCAGUCUUGCUCUCAGUUUUAAAUGAACUGAGAUGAAUGCAAUGCCAGGUGAAACAAAUCUGAACUUUCUGCUGUCAAGUAAAGGAAAGGAUAUCACACUCCAUCCUCAAGUAAACAAGGAAAUCAGCUGUUUGUGCUCUGACCUCAAUCUGUGGCACCGCACUUUGUGCCUUAUUAAAGAUGGCACACAUAAAUGACCAUGCAGCAAUCAAACCACCCAAUUUGGUAACAAGUAAAACUUACAUAAAUACUGGUGUACACCUGCUAUAUCAUCUUACCUGGAAGACUGCAUGGGAACGAGAAGAGGAGGCAUUCACGUCUGUGGGAUGUUGUGUUCUAUUUUUAUUUCCAUAAUCCAACAUUUGAAGGAUUUCCUCUGCUGAUUUUGGCUUUAAAAGUAGAGUACGGGAUGUUCAAGGGAACAUAACUAAUCUUCAAGACAGGCAUCAUUAGAAUGUGAAAUGAAUGUGUUAGAAACAAUUGGCCUUUUUGGAAAGAUACAAGACAGUAACAGGUAUCUAUUAGUAACAUCAAAUUUGUUGAGCAAUUAUUCAGUUCCAAUCCCAUCACGGAACAUUUCAUAAUGUCCCAAAACAGUUCAUAAUGGGUAGGAGGA
Molecule: long non-coding RNA, 769 nt
Organism: Gallus gallus (chicken)
Lineage: Eukaryota; Metazoa; Chordata; Aves; Galliformes; Phasianidae
Exons: 4
Source: RefSeq, a predicted model, not a curated record